AUUGAACGCUGGCGGCAGGCCUAACACAUGCAAGUCGAACGAGUGGCGGACGGGUGAGAAAUGUCUGGGAAAAUGCCUGAUGGAGGGGGAUAACUACUGGAAACGGUAGCUAAUACCGCAUAACAUGCGAUGUGCCCAGAUGGGCUUAGCUAGUCGGGGGGGUAAAGGCUGACCUAGGCGACGAUCCCUAGCUGGUCUGAGAGGAUGACCAGCCACACUGGAACUGAGACACGGUCCAGACUCCUACGGGAGGCAGCAGUGGGGAAUAUUGCACAAUGGGCGCAAGCCUGAUGCAGCCAUGCCGCGUGUAUGAAGAAGGCCUUCGGGUUGUAAAGUACUUUCAGCGGGGAGGCGUUACCCGCAGAAGAAGCACCGGCUAACUCCGUGCCAGCAGCCGCGGUAAUAC
RNAcentral lists this ribosomal RNA (406 nucleotides) under uncultured bacterium. RNAcentral describes it as "partial 16S ribosomal RNA". It matches the Rfam family "Bacterial small subunit ribosomal RNA", at positions 30 to 526 of the family's 1533-position model. The record is from RNAcentral.